UACAGAGGUCCCAAGCGUUGUUCGGAUUUACUGGGCGUAAAGGGUGCGUAGGUGGCUAGGUAAGUUCGAUGUGAAAUCUCCGAGCUCAACUCGGAAAUGGCAUUGAAUACUAUCCCGCUUGAGGGUCGGAGGGGAGACUGGAAUUCCCGGUGUAGCAGUGAAAUGCGUAGAUAUCGAGAGGAACACCAGUGGCGAAGGCGAGUCUCUGGACGGCUCCUGACACUGAGGCACGAAAGCUGGGGGAGCAAACAGG
This 253-nucleotide ribosomal RNA is filed under the name uncultured bacterium. Its description in RNAcentral is "partial 16S ribosomal RNA". It matches the Rfam family "Bacterial small subunit ribosomal RNA", at positions 524 to 776 of the family's 1533-position model. The record is from RNAcentral.